Ictidomys tridecemlineatus (thirteen-lined ground squirrel) is the source of this 88-nucleotide small nucleolar RNA. The record is from Ensembl. NCBI's taxonomy places the organism in Eukaryota, Metazoa, Chordata, Mammalia, Rodentia, Sciuridae.
CCCCUUUAAAAAGCACUAUAGGUCCUUUGCUAAUGACCCAUUCAGCUAUCAAAAAAGUGUGGCCUGGAGAUGCAGUUCAGUGACAGAG